GCACCGUCAGCUUAGUAAGGUCGAGCAACAGGCUUUUAACCUGGAGGACGCGCGUUCAAUUCGCGCACGGUGCACCA
RNAcentral lists this transfer RNA (77 nucleotides) under Fodinibius sp. RNAcentral's name for it is "tRNA-Lys". It matches the Rfam family "tRNA". Rfam says of the family: Transfer RNA (tRNA) molecules are approximately 80 nucleotides in length. Lineage: Bacteria; Pseudomonadati; Balneolota; Balneolia; Balneolales; Balneolaceae. The record is from RNAcentral.